RNAcentral lists this ribosomal RNA (1428 nucleotides) under Lactiplantibacillus plantarum. RNAcentral's name for it is "bacterial SSU rRNA". It matches the Rfam family "Bacterial small subunit ribosomal RNA". The record is from RNAcentral. Lineage: Bacteria; Bacillati; Bacillota; Bacilli; Lactobacillales; Lactobacillaceae.
ACGAACUCUGGUAUUGAUUGGUGCUUGCAUCAUGAUUUACAUUUGAGUGAGUGGCGAACUGGUGAGUAACACGUGGGAAACCUGCCCAGAAGCGGGGGAUAACACCUGGAAACAGAUGCUAAUACCGCAUAACAACUUGGACCGCAUGGUCCGAGCUUGAAAGAUGGCUUCGGCUAUCACUUUUGGAUGGUCCCGCGGCGUAUUAGCUAGAUGGUGGGGUAACGGCUCACCAUGGCAAUGAUACGUAGCCGACCUGAGAGGGUAAUCGGCCACAUUGGGACUGAGACACGGCCCAAACUCCUACGGGAGGCAGCAGUAGGGAAUCUUCCACAAUGGACGAAAGUCUGAUGGAGCAACGCCGCGUGAGUGAAGAAGGGUUUCGGCUCGUAAAACUCUGUUGUUAAAGAAGAACAUAUCUGAGAGUAACUGUUCAGGUAUUGACGGUAUUUAACCAGAAAGCCACGGCUAACUACGUGCCAGCAGCCGCGGUAAUACGUAGGUGGCAAGCGUUGUCCGGAUUUAUUGGGCGUAAAGCGAGCGCAGGCGGUUUUUUAAGUCUGAUGUGAAAGCCUUCGGCUCAACCGAAGAAGUGCAUCGGAAACUGGGAAACUUGAGUGCAGAAGAGGACAGUGGAACUCCAUGUGUAGCGGUGAAAUGCGUAGAUAUAUGGAAGAACACCAGUGGCGAAGGCGGCUGUCUGGUCUGUAACUGACGCUGAGGCUCGAAAGUAUGGGUAGCAAACAGGAUUAGAUACCCUGGUAGUCCAUACCGUAAACGAUGAAUGCUAAGUGUUGGAGGGUUUCCGCCCUUCAGUGCUGCAGCUAACGCAUUAAGCAUUCCGCCUGGGGAGUACGGCCGCAAGGCUGAAACUCAAAGGAAUUGACGGGGGCCCGCACAAGCGGUGGAGCAUGUGGUUUAAUUCGAAGCUACGCGAAGAACCUUACCAGGUCUUGACAUACUAUGCAAAUCUAAGAGAUUAGACGUUCCCUUCGGGGACAUGGAUACAGGUGGUGCAUGGUUGUCGUCAGCUCGUGUCGUGAGAUGUUGGGUUAAGUCCCGCAACGAGCGCAACCCUUAUUAUCAGUUGCCAGCAUUAAGUUGGGCACUCUGGUGAGACUGCCGGUGACAAACCGGAGGAAGGUGGGGAUGACGUCAAAUCAUCAUGCCCCUUAUGACCUGGGCUACACACGUGCUACAAUGGAUGGUACAACGAGUUGCGAACUCGCGAGAGUAAGCUAAUCUCUUAAAGCCAUUCUCAGUUCGGAUUGUAGGCUGCAACUCGCCUACAUGAAGUCGGAAUCGCUAGUAAUCGCGGAUCAGCAUGCCGCGGUGAAUACGUUCCCGGGCCUUGUACACACCGCCCGUCACACCAUGAGAGUUUGUAACACCCAAAGUCGGUGGGGUAACCUUUUAGGAACCAGCCGCCUA